GCGGGAGCGCCACCGCCAGUGGGGUGGGGGCAAAGCUAUAAAGAAGACCCAGAGGUAAGAAACUAACAAAAACACAACCACAAGUUAUGCCCGUGCUGUGCCUCUGCAGCAGCAAAGACAAGCGGUGUGGGGUUUGGGGAUGAGUCUACACUUCUCGUGGGGGAGAGAAAGGGUGUGUGCCUCUUUGGCAUAAGCCAUUUGCAUAGUGUCUUUAGACCAGAGUUUACUUUCAGCAGAAAACCGUGGCUGAAUUUUUUCCCCUCUUUUCUUCUGUAUCGUUUGAAAAGAAGUCUUUGGAAUUUUGGAGAAAGAGAAAAUGAUCAUUACCAGAGUUGGCGCAGCUGAAAUAAAUGACUGUCCAAGGCAGUGUUCAUAACAAUGAUCCAGAAAAGUUUCCAACAAGAGUGAACAGCAAUUGUGUCUGACUUAAAGGGACAAUGGUGACUCGUUUGUGAGAUGCAUACGGCAAAGAACAGAGUCAAAAUCCUUAGUAAAUAUUUUUAAAUUUUAAAAUGUUGCUUACCUACAUUCUUCUAAAAUUUUUGAAUUCCCUCUAUUAAAAUGUAUUUCUUAUGACCUUUAUUUGCAAAGAAAAUUGUAUCUAUGCUUUGAAUGUCAAACUGCAGUAAUUAAUUUCAGAUGGCGUUUUGUACUUGAAAAUGUGUCUAUAUAAUAAAGGAAGAGAAGGUCUAUAUUCCAAACAAAAACAGAAAAUUGUGUUGAAAUUAAUGGUUUUCCUCCACUGAAAAGAUGCUACAUUGGAUUUACAGGACACCAACUAAGCAAUUUAAGUAUUAAGAGGGCAACUAUUUAGAAAGAGAAUAAGCUUUUGUUGUGUUAUAUUUGUCUUAAAACUGUAGAGGCCUUUUGUGAAAAAAACUGUCUUCCAUUUAUAGCUGAAAUACUAAAAACCUUAUUUGUACCACAGUAGCUCCAUAAUGAUGAAUCCUUAAGGCACCAAAAAAACGGAGUUCAAAACAACAUUCAAUUUACUGUUGGAUAUAACUGUAAUUGUGGCGAGGCUAAAUGAAUUUGUUUAUGUUCUCAAUAGCCAUAAAAGAAAUUUUAUUCUUUUACCUUACUACAGUAAGGUUAUUGCAUAUCACUUGUUUGUAUUUAAUUAUUCAAUAAAAUGUGCAUUAGGCUGGAAAAGCUCCUGCAAGAUAUUUAAUAUCUUAAGGGACAUAACUAUUUAAAGAUAAACAUUUCUGCUUUUCCUUGGUAAUUUUUAAAACUUGUAAUUUUAACUAGAAUUUAAGUCACUUUCUUCCAAGUGAGACUUUAAAGAAGCCCUAAGUAACAGGUUGUUGACUUUCCUUGUUGACACCUCCGGGUUAUAUAUAAAACCAGUUCUCAAACAAAACACACACACUGGCUUUAUAGGUGAAUCAUUUACCCUUUAAGAACUAGCCAGGGAAAUACAGUUCUGCUGUAUGUAAAUCAUAAAGCAUCCAAGAUUACAUUAAAAAUAGUUUUAAGUAAACAUCGACUUAAUUUAGUUACUUAGUAACUACUUUCUUUUCCCAAAGAAAGCUUUAUAAAAUUACGCCAGAGAAAAAUAAGAGACUUGAACAUAGCAAGAAGGCCACUGGGGGCUGAAGUUUACCUAAAUAUCUCAGCUGCAGAAAAUGAGAAGCCAGUGCUUACAAAACAACCAAACCCAAGGCUAAAAACCUCAAAUGUGUACAACUAUACUGAGCAGUAAACCAAAUCUUACCAAAGUUUCUCUUUAAAAUUUACUGCUUGCUCAAAAACACCCUGAAAUUAGGUGGAAGUCAAAAAAAAAUGUAUUCUCUUCUAUAAAAUAAGUGAUCCAACAAACUGAACUUGAUUUUUUCACGUUUAAUGUGAAAACGAUGAUCUUGUGAAGGUUACAUACCACAGUAUUAGGCAUUACUUAAUAUCAACUUUAAUGGCUAUGUUACAUCAUCUAAAAAUAUGACAAUUGGUGGCACAUUACAUGCUGUUGAAAACUGCUGUAAAACAGAAAUAAUGUGAAUUCAGACACAUAUUGCCAAACAAGCUGGGGAUCGCUCUUAAAUGACUAGAUGGCAAACUUCACAGGUUAGCAAGAUAAAAAGAAAUUGCUCCAUCUUUUCCGCCCCCGUGUUAAAAUGAGUCUUAGAUGAUAAAAUAACAAGAUCCAAGAUACAUUAAAUAAAAAUAUUUACAAAAGUUCAAUAAUGUUUUAGACCAAACAAAAACAAAAAAGGAAAACUUAAGGAAAUCAUUCUUGUUCUAAAUUUAAUUUAUUUUCUGUUCUUAGUUACGAGCACUUCAAAGGCUUUUUAAUAAUACAGUCACUCUUAAACUCCCAGUUAAAAUGAGGUGAGGUAACAUUUAAUUAAAGCAACAAGUUAUCGCAGUUACGUGAAAGUGUCUUCGUGGUAGUUUAAGAGACACUUCACACCAUUCAACAGAGAAGAAACUUGGAUAAUUAUCUCAAGAAAACGCUGCCUCAUCUGAAAUUUGAAGUUCAAUGUAGUUUAUCUAAGACAUUUUAUCUUUGGGCCACUAACAAAGAAGACAUUUUAUUAAAUUGCGCCAGUCCGCAGGCAGAUGCCUUAAAAGAAAGGCUCUUGAAAAAUAAUUCUUAAAUUAGCAAGUUGACAUUCUUUUCUAAAUGAUGGGAAUGUUUAUUGAAAACAUUAAAUGUAUUACUUUUUAUAAGAUCCCACUCGUAACUUAAAAAUAAGUAACAAGUAACCACCACUGACACUGAAAGUUAUCUAGUGAUAAGAAAUUGCACAUUUAGUCAGAAAACAGUCAACCUGGAAUUCUAAUUACACGCCGGUAAUGAAACCACAGUACCUGUUUCCAGAAACCAGGUGUUAAAGCUGAAUGUGAACAAUGCAAAUGUAUUUCUGAAUCUAUAUAUUGCAAAUAUGAGCAAAAUUACGAGCACGAUUUCUGUUUUCAUGUAAGACAUAAACAUUAUUUUACCAUGUCUCUAGUAAUAAGGUACAUUUUCCAUCUACGUGUGAAAUAAAAUACUGGAAAGGCGAAGCUUCUUAAAAUAUUUCAAACACCCAAAGCGAAGUGUUUUGCCAGUGCAGGGGAGGUGCCCACAAAACAUCAGCCACAUGUCUGAAAGAGGCCGUCCGGUCGAUGCCGUCAGUCUUCAUACUGGCUAAGAUCAUACAAGCUGGGUUUAUGCUGACGCUGUCCCACUGACACGAGAAGGAAGGCGCUCUCUGGAUUUUCAAUGCUGCCUAUUUACCUAUCUUUUCAAAUUCAGUAAAACCAACUCGGUGCUUCUAAAUGUAUGUGGCAUUUCAGUUCAGGACAGGAUCUAGUUUUACCGAUAAUGUUUGCCUAUAAAGGAGAGUUGCAUUCGCGGGCCUUUAGCUUUUUACAGGAGCUCAUCCAAAAUAAGACAACAUAAAAAUACCACUAAUAAACAACCCAACGUCUUUAAUUAAAUACCUACUAUCAUGACAGGGAGCUUUAGGUAAGAAGCUAUUAUUAGUGAGCUUGCUUCUCCACGACUGGACAUAAUUCACUAUUCCUAAGAUGGUAACAUCAGAAUUCUUUUUCAGGAUUCCUGCGGGGCUGUGCUCAUUUUACAUCCGUGUGAACUGCUGUCAUCGCUACUAUGUCCGAGCCCAGAGGAUGAACUGGAAAAGAAGAGAGGGGGAAAAUAAUAAAAAGAGGAAAUUGGUUUUCACAACACACUCAAAGCCUGAGUAACAGAGGAGAACUUUAAUUAUCUCCAGUCACAAAGAGAGACAGGAAAUUUGGACUUUUAAUUAGCCAUUUGGAGUGCAGUUGGAUAUUUUUUUAGCUAGAUAAUUUAAACGCGAAUAAUUCAAGUCUGACUAAAUGAAAGUCACAUAAUCAGAAUGCAGAUAAUUGAAUUUCUACUGCGUUCAUUAAUUCAGUGUGGAGGUGUGUGUGAAGACUACUAUGAUGAGCUGUCACAGCUCAAUAAAAUCUCAGUCAAUUAAUUUUUUCAUUAUCUUAG
Molecule: long non-coding RNA, 3964 nt
Filed under: Lynx pardinus (Iberian lynx)
Lineage: Eukaryota; Metazoa; Chordata; Mammalia; Carnivora; Felidae
Source: RNAcentral